CCUACGGGAGGCAGCAGUGGGGAAUAUUGGGCAAUGGGCGCAAGCCUGACCCAGCAACGCCGCGUGAAGGAAGAAGGCUUUCGGGUUGUAAACUUCUUUUGUCAGGGAAGAGUAGAAGACGGUACCUGACGAAUAAGCCACGGCUAACUACGUGCCAGCAGCCGCGGUAAUACGUAGGUGGCAAGCGUUGUCCGGAUUUACUGGGGGUAAAGGGCGUGUAGCCGGGCUGACAAGUCAGAUGUGAAAUCCGGGGGCUCAACCCCCGAACUGCAUUUGAAACUGUUGGUCUUGAGUAUCGGAGAGGCAGGCGGAAUUCCUAGUGUAGCGGUGAAAUGCGUAGAUAUUAGGAGGAACACCAGUGGCGAAGGCGGCCUGCUGGACGACAACUGACGGUGAGGCGCGAAAGCGUGGGGAGCAAACAGGAUUAGAUACCCGAGUAGUC
This 442-nucleotide ribosomal RNA is filed under the name uncultured bacterium. RNAcentral's name for it is "partial 16S ribosomal RNA". It matches the Rfam family "Bacterial small subunit ribosomal RNA", at positions 338 to 795 of the family's 1533-position model. The record is from RNAcentral.